This 419-nucleotide ribosomal RNA is filed under the name uncultured bacterium. RNAcentral's name for it is "bacterial SSU rRNA". It matches the Rfam family "Bacterial small subunit ribosomal RNA", at positions 355 to 787 of the family's 1533-position model. The record is from RNAcentral.
UGGGGAAUAUUGCACAAUGGGGAAACCGUAGCAUGCAGCGACGCCGCGUGAAGGAUGAAGUAUUUCGGUAUGUAAACUUCUAUCAGCAGGGAAGAAAAUGACGGUACCUGACUAAGAAGCCCGCUACUACGUGCCAGCCAGCCGCGGCUGAAUAAUCGUAGGGGCAAGCGGGUUAAUUCCGGAUUUACUGGGUGUAAAGGGAGCGUAGACGGCAUGGCAAGUCUGAAGUGAAAGCCCGGGGCUCAACCCGGACGUGCUUUGGAAACUGUCAGGCUAGAGUGCUGGAGAGGUAAGUGGAAUUCCUAGUGUAGCGGUGAAAUGCGUAGAUAUUAGGAGGAACACCAGUGGCGAAGGCGGCUUACUGGACAGUGACUGACGUUGAGGCUCGAAAGCGUGGGAGCAAACAGGAUUAGAUACCC